RNAcentral lists this long non-coding RNA (425 nucleotides) under Homo sapiens (human). RNAcentral's name for it is "HSALNT0098096". The record is from RNAcentral. Lineage: Eukaryota; Metazoa; Chordata; Mammalia; Primates; Hominidae.
CCUGGGAAAGUUUGGAGAGGAGGUGGGCUGAACUUCUGGAAAAGGAAGAAGAAAAAACCUACAGACAAUGUGGAUCUGCAGAGACAGUGAUGGAGCAUGUGAUUGGAGAGAAGCAGGGCAGCACCCCAGGAGCCCCAGCGAGACAUGGGGAGGACACUUUAGCUCUCUGGAAGCCCCGCCCACUUUCUGCAGCCUCAGUUGUGAGAUUGCUUUGAAUCUUGAUGGCUAGUUCCCAUUUAUGUAAACUUUUCUUAGUAAAAGGUCAUUUCUAGCAACCAGAUAGUCCCUGAUAAAGACCUCACUGUUAUGACGAUGUCUGUGUCCUAUUAAUUAAGAUCCUGGGAUAUGCAUCCUACUCCAUAAACUUGACUGCAUAAGAAAUGUUACAUUAUUUUAUUUCCUUGAGGUCUAAUUAAAUCUGACCC